RNAcentral lists this ribosomal RNA (293 nucleotides) under uncultured bacterium. RNAcentral's name for it is "partial 16S ribosomal RNA". It matches the Rfam family "Bacterial small subunit ribosomal RNA", at positions 337 to 644 of the family's 1533-position model. The record is from RNAcentral.
GCCUACGGGACGCAGCAGUGGGGAAUAUUGGACAAUGGGGGGAACCCUGAUCCAGCGACGCCGCGUGAGUGAAGAAGUAUUUCGGUAUGUAAAGCUCUAUCAGCAGGGAAGAAAGAAAUGACGGUACCUGAAUAAGAAGCCCCGGCUAACUACGUGCCAGCAGCCGCGGUAAUACGUAGGGGGCAAGCGUUAUCCGGAUUUACUGGGUAUAAAGGGAGCGUAGACGGCGGUGCAAGUCUGGAGUGAAAGGCAGGGGCCCAACCCCUGGACUGCUCUGGAAACUGUAGUGCUGG